GACGAACGCUGGCGGCGUGCCUAAUACAUGCAAGUCGAACGCACUCUCGUUUAGAUUGAAGGAGUUUGCUCCUGAUUGAUAAACAUUUGAGUGAGUGGCGGACGGGUGAGUAACACGUGGGUAACCUGCCCUAAAGUGGGGGAUAACAUUUGGAAACAGAUGCUAAUACCGCAUAAAACCUAACACCGCAUGGUGUAGGGUUGAAAGAUGGUUUCGGCUAUCACUUUAGGAUGGACCCGCGGUGCAUUAGUUAGUUGGUGAGGUAAAGGCUCACCAAGACCGUGAUGCAUAGCCGACCUGAGAGGGUAAUCGGCCACACUGGGACUGAGACACGGCCCAGACUCCUACGGGAGGCAGCAGUAGGGAAUCUUCCACAAUGGACGAAAGUCUGAUGGAGCGACGCCGCGUGAGUGAAGAAGGUUUUCGGAUCGUAAAACUCUGUUGUUGGAGAAGAAUGUAUCUGAUAGUAACUGAUCAGGUAGUGACGGUAUCCAACCAGAAAGCCACGGCUAACUACGUG
Molecule: ribosomal RNA, 520 nt
Filed under: uncultured bacterium
Lineage: Bacteria
Description: partial 16S ribosomal RNA
Rfam family: Bacterial small subunit ribosomal RNA
Source: RNAcentral